GUGUGUUAGUGCACAAUCAUCACAAGUUAUACCAAAAAUCAAGUUAGUAACUAAAGAUCAUUCUUCAAUCUAAUCAAUUUAUGGGCCAAUAUCGACAACUUAGGUAUAUAAAUAUGCCUAAGAUCAUGGCAUACCAUUUGAACAUGAGAUUGAGGAAUCAUUGAGUAACAUGAAUAAUGGUUAUGAAGAAUGGAUUGGUGAAUUUGGUGAAAGUCAUGACCUUCAUGUUGUUGCUCUAAGCUUUCGAUUACUUAGGCUACAAGGUUACUAUGUCUCAUCUGAUGUUUUUAGAAAGUUCACCGAUGACCAAGGAAAUUAUUAAAAAGCAAUGGUUAACGACAUGCAAGGAUUAUUAAGCUUGUACGAGGCAACACAAUUCAGAGUACAUGAUGAAGAAAUUUUGGAUGAAGCCGUUAAUUUCACCACCACUCUCAUUUGAAGUUAUUGUUGCCUAAAUUGAGUAAUUCUCUAUCUAUGCAAGUCAGCUAUGCCCUAAAGUAUCCAAUAAACAAAAUUAUAGCCAGGGUAGCAACUAGAAAACACACAUCGUUUUAUCAAGAAGAUAAAUCAUGUGAUCAAGUGUUAUUGAAUUUUGCAAAACUGGACUUCAAUACAUUGCAGAGGAUGCAUAAAAGGGAGCUAUGUGAUAUCACAAGGUGGUGGAAAGAAUUGAACUUGGCAAAUGAACUACCUUUUGCAAAAGACAGAGUGGUUGAGUUGUACUUUUGGUCUUUGGGUGUGUACUUUGAGCCCCAAUAUAAUGUUGCCAGAAAUAUACUAACCAAAGUGUUAUGUUUCGCUUCAAUUACUGAUGACAUCUAUGAUACCUAUGGAACACUGCAUGAACUUACUCUCCUCACAAAUGCAAUAGAAAAGUAGUAUGUUUUUUUUUUGGAAACAUUAAAUAUACUAUAUCUACGUUUCAGUUUAUUUUCCUAACAUUUCUUUUUAGUCCAUCCAAAGGACAAUAUAUUUUUUUAAUAAAAUAAUGUUGUGAUAUUAUUGAUUGUGUAUCUUGCUAGUUACCUUGUGAUAUCACAUAGCUCCCUUUUAUGCAUCUUCUGCAAUGUAUUGAAGUGCAAUUUUGCAAAAGUUAAUAUCACUUGAUCACAUGAUUUAUCUUCUUGGUAAAACGAUAUGUAUAGCAAAUGUAUUGAAGUGCAAUUAGGAGUCAUAAU
This is a long non-coding RNA of Solanum tuberosum (potato), 1178 nucleotides long. RefSeq lists it as uncharacterized. The record is from RefSeq and is a predicted model, not a curated record. The transcript is spliced from 3 exons. NCBI's taxonomy places the organism in Eukaryota, Viridiplantae, Streptophyta, Magnoliopsida, Solanales, Solanaceae.